AGAGUUUGAUCCUGGCUCAGAACGAACGCUGGCGGCGUGCCUAACACAUGCAAGUCGUACGAGAAAAUCCGCUUCGGCGGGUGAGUAGAGUGGCGCACGGGUGAGUAACGCGUGGAUAAUCUGCCUUUAAGCUGGGAAUAACUCACCGAAAGGUGGGCUAAUACCCGAUAAUGCUAUGGGACUUCGGUUUUAUAGCCAAAGAGAGCCUCUACAUGUAAGCCUUCACUUAAAGAUGAGUCCGCGUACCAUUAGCUAGUUGGUAGGGUAAUGGCCUACCAAGGCGACGAUGGUUAGCUGGUCUGAGAGGAUGAUCAGCCACACUGGAACUGAGACACGGUCCAGACUCCUACGGGAGGCAGCAGUGAGGAAUAUUGCGCAAUGGGGGCAACCCUGACGCAGCAACGCCGCGUGAGUGAGGAAGGUUUUCGGAUCGUAAAGCUCUGUCGGGUGGGAAGAAAUGUAUGGAGGUUAAUAGCCUUCGUACUUGACGGUACCGCCAAAGGAAGCACCGGCUAACUCCGUGCCAGCAGCCGCGGUAAUACGGGGGGUGCAAGCGUUGUUCGGAAUCAUUGGGCGUAAAGAGCGUGUAGGCGGCUAGGCAAGUCAGAUGUGAAAUCCCUGGGCUUAACCCAGGACGUGCAUUUUGAAACUGCUUAGCUUGAGUAAGGAAGAGGGAAGUGGAAUUCCUGGUGUAUAGGUGAAAUUCGUAGAUAUUCGGGAGGAACACCGGUGGCGAAGGCGACUUCCUGGUCCUUAUACCGACGCUGAGACCCAAAAGCGUGGGGAACAAACGGAAUAGAUACCCUGGUAAUCCCCGCCUUUAAACUAAUGUUCACUUAGGUGGUUGAGGGUAUUGAACCCCUUUCAGUGCC
RNAcentral lists this ribosomal RNA (872 nucleotides) under uncultured bacterium. RNAcentral describes it as "bacterial SSU rRNA". It matches the Rfam family "Bacterial small subunit ribosomal RNA", at positions 8 to 847 of the family's 1533-position model. The record is from RNAcentral.